UACAGAGGGUGCGAGCGUUGUCCGGAAUCACUGGGCGUAAAGCGCACGUAGGCGGAUUUCUAAGUCAGGGGUGAAAUCCUGGAGCUCAACUCCAGAACUGCCUUUGAUACUGGGAAUCUCGAGUCCGGGAGAGGUGAGUGGAACUGCGAGUGUAGAGGUGAAAUUCGUAGAUAUUCGCAAGAACACCAGUGGCGAAGGCGGCUCACUGGCCCGGUACUGACGCUGAGGUGCGAAAGCGUGGGGAGCAAACAGG
This 253-nucleotide ribosomal RNA is filed under the name uncultured bacterium. RNAcentral's name for it is "partial 16S ribosomal RNA". It matches the Rfam family "Bacterial small subunit ribosomal RNA", at positions 524 to 776 of the family's 1533-position model. The record is from RNAcentral.